Ovis aries (sheep) is the source of this 73-nucleotide transfer RNA. It matches the Rfam family "tRNA". From Rfam's summary of the family: Transfer RNA (tRNA) molecules are approximately 80 nucleotides in length. Their secondary structure includes four short double-helical elements and three loops (D, anti-codon, and T loops). The record is from Rfam. Lineage: Eukaryota; Metazoa; Chordata; Mammalia; Artiodactyla; Bovidae.
UCCCUGGUGGUCCCAUGGCUAAGACCCUGCACUCCGAAUGCAGGGAGCCCGGGUUCAAUCCCUGGGCAGGGAA